This 301-nucleotide ribosomal RNA is filed under the name uncultured bacterium. RNAcentral describes it as "partial 16S ribosomal RNA". It matches the Rfam family "Bacterial small subunit ribosomal RNA", at positions 509 to 809 of the family's 1533-position model. The record is from RNAcentral.
CAGCAGCCGCGGUAAUACGGAGGAUCCGAGCGUUAUCCGGAUUUAUUGGGUUUAAAGGGUGCGUAGGCGGUUCAUUAAGUCAGGGGUGAAAGACGGUAGCUUAACUAUCGCAGUGCCUUUGAUACUGAUGAGCUUGAAUACACUUGAGGUAGGCGGAAUGUGACAAGUAGCGGUGAAAUGCAUAGAUAUGUCACAGAACACCAAUUGCGAAGGCAGCUUACUAAAGUGAGAUUGACGCUGAGGCACGAAAGCGUGGGGAUCAAACAGGAUUAGAUACCCGGGUAGUCCCUGUCUCUUAUAA